Felis catus (domestic cat) is the source of this 3782-nucleotide long non-coding RNA. RefSeq lists it as uncharacterized. The record is from RefSeq and is a predicted model, not a curated record. Lineage: Eukaryota; Metazoa; Chordata; Mammalia; Carnivora; Felidae. The transcript has 4 exons.
CCAAAAGAUGGAAACAGCCCAACUGUUCAACUGAUGAACGGAUAAAGAAAAUGUGAUGUGUAAAUAGAAUGGAAUAUUACUCGUAUUUAUAUUUAGAUAGCUGUAUUGAUUAUCUGUGUACUUAGUUGUGAAAAGUAAAGACAAAAAAUAAAUAGAACAAAUGUUAUUGAGACUUGAUAGUGUAUAUAGUAGUGAGGAAAUGGUGUGAGGAAUCUCACUUCAUUUGGGGGUAGGAGACAACUGCUGGUUGAGAAAUUAAGCCUCAGUGGACAGACAUAUCUGUCUCCCAGCUCCCAGUGUGAACAUGGAGUAGGCAUUCUGGUUGAGAAUAAGAUGGCUUGCAGGGCAGGGGCACAGUGACAGUGUUAUGGACUGAAGGUUUAUGUUCCCUUAAAAUCCGUAUGUUGAAAUGCUGACACCCAGUGCAGCUGAUUUGGGAGAUGGGGACUCUUAAGUAAUUAAGCUAAAAGGAGGUCAAUGGGUGGGGGCCUCAUCACAUAAGAAUAGUUCUCACCAAAACUAAAUUAGCCUGAACCUUGAACUCAGACUUCUAAGCCUCCAGAACUAUGAGAAAUAACUUUUUCUUAUUUAAACCACCAAAUGUGUAGUGUUUUGAUAUGAUAGCCCAGGCAGACUAACAUAAACAGUAACUUUCCUUCAUUCAGAAUCAAAGACCAAACAGAAGAACCUCCCUUUGGUACAAAAGAUGUUUCAUGCCCCAUCACAAAUCACUAGACCUGGAACUUUCCUUCCUUCCUCAUGGUCAGGGGCAUUCAGAGAAGCAGUUUAGAGCACUGCAUCCCUGAGAUACAGGAAAGGAAUGGAAUUGUUGAUGGAGGACAAGGGGAAGAAGAGGAAAUACAUUAGCAGUGGGUGGUCAGAGUCUGAUUCAAGCGGAAAGGGAAAAGAGAGAAAGGGAAAGAAGGAGAAAGAGAGGAAUAGGAGAGCUCAAGGACAAGGGGAAAGAGGAAGAAGAAAGAAGACAGGUGGUGGAUGAACUAAGGAUGAUCAGGACAGGGUGCAGUAGGCAUCGGUGAUGAAGGUUCAGAAACCAAAGAAACCGAUGAGGACAGUGGGGCUCUCUUUUCUGUCCUCCUAAAUUGCCUCUACAAGCCCAGAGACAAUGUAGGUUGUGCAAAACCUUUGUGUAAAUUAAUAAAGGCAUCCUUUCUGGAUUACUGAAGGAGAAAAAUAGUAUUUUUCUGGCAAGGGCAGACCUCAGGAUAUGAGCCUGGGGGUGGGAAGACAUCUUUGUGUGUGUCUUCAACCCUUUCUCCAGUCAAUGCAGUCCCAUUACAACCUAUUGGUUAGCUACCAGAGCAUGGGCUGGAUUAAGACCCCACCCAACACCUCAUAUGUUGCCCAUAUGAGGUGGAAUCGACUAUAUCAUGGUUGGUAGACUUCUCUGUCUUCACCAAAUGGGAAGGCAUCCUCACACAGUACUCUGCAACUCUAUGGAACACCAUCAUCCACGGCUGGGUGGCUGAAUAUCUGCCACCAGUUCAGGGCUGCCAGGAAGUGCUGAGCAUUACCAUUUAACCAACACCUUCCUGGGGCACCUGGGUGACUUAGUCAGUUAAGAGUCUCAUUCUUGAUUUUGGCUCAGGUCAUAAUCUCAGGGUAGUGAGGUCCAGCACUGUGUCACUGAUGGCACACAGACUCCUUGGGAUUCUCUCUCUCCUCUCUCUUCUGCGCCUGCCUCCAUUCACACAAUUUCUCCUUUCAAAAUAAAUAAACUUUUUUUAAAUAAAAAAUAAAAAAAAAUUUAAAAACCCACCUUCCUUCAAACCCCUUCCUCCAACAUGAUGAGCUUCCUACACUUGCAUUGUCAUAAAACCAUGCCUGGUAUUCUUGAAGACCUGCAAGUUGAGAGGGUAGCUUCUCAUUUCUUUGAUGCUCCCCAUAGAGAAAAUCUAUGACAGGGUACUGAGACACUUGGAUUUCAGAGACAGAGAACUAAAGGCAUCAUGAGGCUGAAAGUCUGGGUCUGGGAGUAGUCUCAACAGACAUAGUAGAUUUAAGCAGUUGUACAACACAGGAUUCUUUCUCUAUAAUUAGUCAUUUAAUUCUUACUUGUCUCAAUCCCCAUAUGUCCCAAAAUAUUUCAUAUCUUUACAUCGCUAAGACUUACUAAAAGUAUUCCAAUCCCCGUAUCUCCACUCUAGAUUGGUUCUGUGGCAAAGAGUAUAUAACAUUGUAUGUACUUUGCACUAGCAAUGGGGCCUGGAUAACAUGAAGAACCAGCAGAGAAAAGGAGAAACAUAGAAUAUUUAAAGUGCAUAUUGCCAUCGUGUCAAGAAAUUGCACAAAAAUAUAGGAAAAUCUCUACAACAGUUGAUAAAGAAACAAAACAUCAAAGACUGGUAACAUGGUGCCACAUAGUCCUGUUCUCCAAAGAGAAGGAAGACAGGUUAGGAUGAGAAAAUAUUUUCAACCUGAAAACCUGGUGACAUGCCCCAACUGCAAUGCUCUGCGCAAGCAAAUUCAGCAGUGGAUAGAACAAACAAAAAUUCCUGCCCUAUGGAGCUCACAUUCAAGGGGAGGGUGGAUGCCAGCUUAUAUACAAGGCAAAGGAAAACCCUGAGAAAAUACUCACCCCCAUGGAGGGGCCUCUCCACCCUUCUCAGACUCUCCAGGACUUGGAUAAUCUGUCUGGCUACUGCUGAUGCAUAUACAGGGGCCACAGCAAUUUACUCAACAGGAGCUGAGCAGAAACUCCAGAAAUGACAGCAUUGUGGGAACUGAGGGUCUCUUUCUCUCUCCUUCCCUCCCACUACCCUCCUUCCCAAGGGGACUUAGUCACUGAGGUACCUGUUCUUAAUUAGCCCAGGUUCAGGGCGUCCCUAAGCAAUCAGACUGCGGAAAGCAGAACAAACUUUUAGUUAUUCCCUUUUUUGACCAAUUAAGUGUCAGAACUUUCGAAACUUUUUGCUUAAUGAAGAAACCUGAAAUCUCACCAAUCACAGGCUUUCAAUACCAAAACUGCCUCCUCAAAGGCCCCAAGUCUAGGAUUCAAGAGUCAUCUCAGACUCUAAGCAGAUUACCCCUUCUGCCCUAUAUCCUAGACUCUUCUCCGAUUCUCUUAGCUAUUCAGAGAAAAAAUCAUCCCCUAACUCCCAAUAGGACACAUUACAAUUGACAUCUAAAAUGUGCACCAAUAUCCUAAAAGCAUGCAUAUUGGUCUCAGUCAAAGCCUUAACUUCACCAGAAAUCCCCUACAAAGCCUGUUUCCUCCUUCACUCAUUUCAUAGAGAGACUCCUGCUCCUAACUCUGAGGACCUUCCAGAAAACUGGGGAGAGUUUCUGCCCCCAAAUUGUACUUCACUCUCUGCUACUGUCUCAGGUUUCCACUCUUCUGAACACACAUGCAUCUGUAUGCAUUCAAGCAAGAUUCUUACAUUUAUUUCUACGGUGUGUCCAUGUUUGCCAGCUGGGCACUUCAAAGCCGGGACAGCAUAAGGACAGCCAAUGUAGGCAGUUAUAUUUACAACCUGAACCAACUGACAAAUGUAAAUUGUAAGUCUGCUUUAUGCUAGAGCGAGACAGAAAAAAUGGCAGCUACAACCAUUUAUCUGGAUUUGGGAUUUCAUUUGAAGUAUACCUGUUAAGUCUGAGAGUGUCAAUAGAUACAGAAGGGUAUAAUUUGGGAAUAAUCUUCCUUCCCAUUUCUGAUGUUGCCAAGCCCAAUUAGAUUGCCAUAUAAUAUUAGAAAAAAUUUAUAAGUAUGUAUCUGCAUAUUCUUUAUAGAAAAUCUUGUGAAAAUCUAUUUUAAAACCUUUUCU